RNAcentral lists this ribosomal RNA (496 nucleotides) under uncultured bacterium. Its description in RNAcentral is "partial 16S ribosomal RNA". It matches the Rfam family "Bacterial small subunit ribosomal RNA", at positions 28 to 507 of the family's 1533-position model. The record is from RNAcentral.
GAUGAACGCUGGCGGCGUGCCUAAUACAUGCAAGUCGAGCGAACAGACGAGGAGCUUGCUCCUCUGACGUUAGCGGCGGACGGGUGAGUAACACGUGGAUAACCUACCUAUAAGACUGGGAUAACUUCGGGAAACCGGAGCUAAUACCGGAUAAUAUAUUGAACCGCAUGGUUCAAUAGUGAAAGACGGUUUUGCUGUCACUUAUAGAUGGAUCCGCGCCGCAUUAGCUAGUUGGUAAGGUAACGGCUUACCAAGGCGACGAUGCGUAGCCGACCUGAGAGGGUGAUCGGCCACACUGGAACUGAGACACGGUCCAGACUCCUACGGGAGGCAGCAGUAGGGAAUCUUCCGCAAUGGGCGAAAGCCUGACGGAGCAACGCCGCGUGAGUGAUGAAGGUCUUCGGAUCGUAAAACUCUGUUAUUAGGGAAGAACAAUGUGUAAGUAACUAUGCACGUCUUGACGGUACCUAAUCAGAAAGCCACGGCUAACUACGUG